UACUUCUACCUUCUGUGAUUCUAAAAUAAUCAUUUCAGUUGUAACUGGGGAGUCCGGCAGGACACAGCAGUCUCCCUCUCAGUUUCGGAGGGCUGUCCUGAGUACAGGGCUGGCUCUUAAAGGCACGAGAGGCCAAU
Molecule: non-coding RNA, 137 nt
Organism: Artibeus jamaicensis (Jamaican fruit-eating bat)
Lineage: Eukaryota; Metazoa; Chordata; Mammalia; Chiroptera; Phyllostomidae
Product: small Cajal body-specific RNA 11
Exons: 1
Source: RefSeq, a predicted model, not a curated record